GACGAACGCUGGCGGCGUGCUUAACACAUGCAAGUCGAACGGAAAGGCCUGCUUUCCCUUGUGGAUUGCGGGUACUCGAGUGGCGAACGGGUGAGUAACACGUGCGUGAUCUGCCCCCAACUUGGGUAUAAGCCUGGGAAACUGGGUCUAAUUCCCGACAGGACUGCAGGGUGGUGCCUGUGGUGGCAAACGAUUUUCUAGUGGUUGGGGAUGAGCUCGCGGCCUAUCAGCUUGUUGGUGGGGUAAUGGCCUACCAAGGAGGGGACGGGUAGCCGGUCUGGGAGGGUGGACGGGAGCAGGGGAACGGAGAUACUGCGAAGACGACUAGGGGAGGCAGCAGUGGGGAAUAAGGCAUGAGGGAUGGAGGCCUGAGGGAGGAAGGCUGCGUGAGGGACGACGGGCUUCGGGUUGUGAACUUCGGUCGGUCGAGAGGAAGCCACCUGGUUGGAAGGGUGGUGACGGUAGUGGUAGAAGAAGCACCGGCUAACUACGUG
RNAcentral lists this ribosomal RNA (494 nucleotides) under uncultured bacterium. RNAcentral describes it as "partial 16S ribosomal RNA". It matches the Rfam family "Bacterial small subunit ribosomal RNA", at positions 28 to 507 of the family's 1533-position model. The record is from RNAcentral.